Molecule: ribosomal RNA, 790 nt
Filed under: Harengula humeralis (redear herring)
Lineage: Eukaryota; Metazoa; Chordata; Actinopteri; Clupeiformes; Clupeidae
Description: partial 16S ribosomal RNA
Rfam family: Bacterial large subunit ribosomal RNA
Source: RNAcentral
AAGUAUAUAAAAGCAGAGAUCGAGUCUCGUACCUUUUGCAUCAUGAUCUAGCUAGCACCCUCAAGCGAAGAGACCUCUAGUUUGUUACCCCGGAACCGGACGAGCUACUCCGGGACAGCCUAUCGUAGGGCCAACCCGUCUCUGUGGCAAAAGAGUGGGAAGAUCCCCGAGUAGAGGUGAAAGACCAACCGAGUCAGGUUGUAGCUGGUUGCCCAGGAGAUGGAUAGGAGUUCAGCCUCACAAGCCCUUCCCCACCGACGGUUUUACCAACACCAGGUCGGAGGACAUUAGUGAGAGUUAGUCAAAGGGGGAACAGCUCCUUUGACAUAGGACACAACCUUUACAGGAGGCUAAGGAGCACAGUCUUAUAAAGGCCACGGGCUUCAGUGGGCCUGAAAGCAGCCAUCUGGAUAGAAAGCGUUAAAGCUCAGACCGACCCUGGCCUACGAUAACACUUAUCACCUUCAAUGCCCCUUAAGUUUACUGGGCCUCCCUAUGCCCCCAUAGGAGAGACCAUGCUAGAACGAGUAACAAGAAGAAUGAACUUCUCCCAGCACAUGUGUAAGUCGAGUCGGACCCACCGUCGACAACUAACGAACCCAGCAAAAGAGGGGCAUGCACCGCCAUCGCGUUAAGUCGGGAAAAACGUGCUAUGUUAGAUCGUUACCCCUACACAGGAGUGCUAGAGACGGGAAAGACUAAAAGGAUAAAAAGGAACUCGGCAAACCUAAACCUCGCCUGUUUACCAAAAACAUCGCCUCCUGCUCUUAUAACCAUAGGAGGUCGCGCC